RNAcentral lists this ribosomal RNA (428 nucleotides) under uncultured bacterium. RNAcentral's name for it is "bacterial SSU rRNA". It matches the Rfam family "Bacterial small subunit ribosomal RNA", at positions 353 to 772 of the family's 1533-position model. The record is from RNAcentral.
AGUCGAGAGGCUUCGGCAAUGGGGGAAACCCUGACCGAGCGACGCCGCGUGGAGGAUGAAGGCCUUUGGGUUGUAAACUCCUUUCGUGGGGGAAGAACGUACGCGAGGUGAAUAAUCUCGCGUGUUGACGGUACCCCAAGAAGAAGCUCCGGCUAACUCCGUGCCAGCAGCCGCGGUAAUACGGGGGGAGCAAGCGUUGUUCGGAAUCACUGGGCGUAAAGGGCGUGUAGGCGGUUCGGUAAGUGGGAUGUGAAAUCCCUCGGCUCACCCGAGGACCUGCAUCCCAUACUGCUGAGCUUGAGUACAGGAGAGGGUGGGGGAAUUCCUGGUGUAGCGGUGAAAUGCGUAGAUAUCAGGAGGAACACCGGUGGCGAAGGCGCCCACCUGGCCUGCUACUGACGCUGAGGCGCGAAAGCUAGGGGAGCAAA